CUGGCGGCGUGCCUAAUACAUGCAAGUCGAACGCACUCUCGUUUAGAUUGAAGGAGACUUGCUCCUGAUUGAUAAACAUUUGAGUGAGUGGCGGACGGGUGAGUAACACGUGGGUAACCUGCCCUAAAGUGGGGGAUAACAUUUGGAAACAGAUGCUAAUACCGCAUAAAACCUAACACCGCAUGGUGUAGGGUUGAAAGAUGGUUUCGGCUAUCACUUUAGGAUGGACCCGCGGUGCAUUAGUUAGUUGGUGAGGUAAAGGCUCACCAAGACCGUGAUGCAUAGCCGACCUGAGAGGGUAAUCGGCCACACUGGGACUGAGACACGGCCCAGACUCCUACGGGAGGCAGCAGUAGGGAAUCUUCCACAAUGGACGAAAGUCUGAUGGAGCAACGCCGCGUGAGUGAAGAAGGUUUUCGGAUCGUAAAACUCUGUUGUUGGAGAAGAAUGUAUCUGAUAGUAACUGAUCAGGUAGUGACGGUAUCCAACCAGAAAGCCACGGCUAACUACGUG
Molecule: ribosomal RNA, 513 nt
Filed under: uncultured bacterium
Lineage: Bacteria
Description: bacterial SSU rRNA
Rfam family: Bacterial small subunit ribosomal RNA
Source: RNAcentral